GCUAGUUGGUGGGGUAAAAGCUCACCAAGGCGACGAUCUGUAGCUGGUCUGAGAGGACGACCAGCCACACUGGAACUGAGACACGGUCCAGACUCCUACGGGAGGCAGCAGUGGGGAAUUUUGGACAAUGGGCGCAAGCCUGAUCCAGCAAUGCCGCGUGCAGGAUGAAGGCCUUCGGGUUGUAAACUGCUUUUGUACGGAACGAAACGGUGAGCUCUAAUAAAGCUUGCUAAUGACGGUACCGUAAGAAUAAGCACCGGCUAACUACGUGCCAGCAGCCGCGGUAAUACGUAGGGUGCGAGCGUUAAUCGGAAUUACUGGGCGUAAAGCGUGCGCAGGCGGUUAUAUAAGACAGAUGUGAAAUCCCCGGGCUCAACCUGGGACCUGCAUUUGUGACUGUAUAGCUAGAGUACGGUAGAGGGGGAUGGAAUUCCGCGUGUAGCAGUGAAAUGCGUAGAUAUGCGGAGGAACACCGAUGGCGAAGGCAAUCCCCUGGACCUGUACUGACGCUCAUGCACGAAAGCGUGGGGAGCAAACAGGAUUAGAUACCCUGGUAGUCCACGCCCUAAACGAUGUCAACUGGUUGUUGGGUCUUCACUGACUCAG
This 606-nucleotide ribosomal RNA is filed under the name uncultured bacterium. RNAcentral's name for it is "bacterial SSU rRNA". It matches the Rfam family "Bacterial small subunit ribosomal RNA", at positions 244 to 843 of the family's 1533-position model. The record is from RNAcentral.